GGACAGACUGCUGCCACGCAGGCUGGCUAGGUUGCUCUGCAAAUAUGCAACAAGAUACAAAAAUCCAAAGAAGGAGACAAUCAUGACUUCGCAACAUGGAAGAUGUCUCUCUGGCCUGUUUCUGCCGAGGAAGCUGGUCCUGACCUGGACUUGGAGAUGGGCGUUGAUGAAAACAGCGGCAGUAGGGAAUGGAAUUCUGGAAGCAGACUCAUCCGCUUAUAUUUAUGAGUGGGGUGAGAGGCGAGGGGUGGUGCAGUUCUCCAGCACUGGGGUUGAAGGACAAAAAUCAGGAGUCAGAAGUUUACUUCCCAG
This 312-nucleotide long non-coding RNA is filed under the name Cricetulus griseus (Chinese hamster). RNAcentral describes it as "lncRNA (ENSCGRG00015033956.1)". Lineage: Eukaryota; Metazoa; Chordata; Mammalia; Rodentia; Cricetidae. The record is from RNAcentral.